UGGCAUCUUCAGUUUACAUCGACUCGCUCUCAUCUGAGACAAAACUGCUGAGAUUGCUACAGCAUCAUGGAACAGAUGGAAGUUAAAGUCAUCGCUAAGCUCCAGUCUCCAUUUCUUUUGAUGAAGAGCUCCAAAGAUAGCUUUAAGUGAACUUUCAAAGAUUCCAAAACCGUCACGAUGACUUCACAUCAGUGCCAGCAGACAGUCGUGGAAUACAGUGCGCGCUCUCUGCCGCUGACAGCAAUAGCGGUGAUCUAAUUUAUCUGGCGACUGGAGGAAAUUCUCUGUACGGGCUCUGGGUCCCUUUGGAUUAGUGACUACAAGGUCAACUGGAGGAGAAAGGAGGCAAGGCUGAGGGUCACCCGCUCCUGUCUCAUUUGCAUGGUCUUGAAUAUAUGGUUUUAGGAAACAUGCAUUUUUGAUUUAUGAUGUUAAUUCUUCAAUGAUUUUUUGUACAGAUGUGCACAAUAGA
RNAcentral lists this long non-coding RNA (472 nucleotides) under Papio anubis (olive baboon). Its description in RNAcentral is "lncRNA (ENSPANG00000044080.1)". The record is from RNAcentral. Lineage: Eukaryota; Metazoa; Chordata; Mammalia; Primates; Cercopithecidae.